Molecule: unclassified non-coding RNA, 541 nt
Filed under: Hevea brasiliensis (rubber tree)
Lineage: Eukaryota; Viridiplantae; Streptophyta; Magnoliopsida; Malpighiales; Euphorbiaceae
Source: RNAcentral
AUGUACCCACUUAUGGAGGGUAUUCGCCGCCGGCGGGUAAGUUCAACAGGAAGUUGCCUGUGAUGUUGCAGUUUCACGGAGGUGGGUUUGUGAGUGGGAGCAAUGAGUCGGUGGCAAACGAUGCGUUUUGCAGGAGGAUAGCCAAGUUGUGCGACGUAAUUGUUGUUGCUGUUGGGUAUAGAUUGGCACCUGAGAGUAAGUACCCGGCUGCUUUUGAAGAUGGCCUCACGGUUUUGAAUUGGUUGGCCAAGCAGGCAAAUUUGGCUUCUUGUAGGAGAUUGAGUCUUCAAAGCCGUAUUUUUGAUAGCUUUGGCGCUUCCAUGCUUGAGCCUUGGCUUGCAGCUCAUGGAGACCCUUCCAGGUGUGUAUUACUUGGGGUGAGCUCUGGUGCAAAUAUAGCAGAUUAUGUGGCACGAAAGUCUGUAGAGGCAGGCAAGCUAUUGGAUCCUGUUAAGGUUGUGGCCCAAGUACUGAUGUACCCUUUCUUCAUUGGAAGCACCCCCACACGUUCUGAAGUUAAGCUGGCAAACUCAUACUUCUA